GGUCUCAUAGUGUAACGGUUAGCACUUUGGACUCUGAAUCCAGUGAUCCGAGUUCAAAUCUCGGGGAGACCU
RNAcentral lists this transfer RNA (72 nucleotides) under Dermacentor andersoni. RNAcentral's name for it is "transfer RNA glutamine (anticodon CUG)". It matches the Rfam family "tRNA". Rfam says of the family: Transfer RNA (tRNA) molecules are approximately 80 nucleotides in length. Their secondary structure includes four short double-helical elements and three loops (D, anti-codon, and T loops). Lineage: Eukaryota; Metazoa; Arthropoda; Arachnida; Ixodida; Ixodidae. The record is from RNAcentral.